AUGGAGGCGCCUUCUCCAAAGCCAGGAAGUGAAAAUGACGUCCAUGGGCCCGGCCGGUCACCCGGGCGGGGGAGGAGGACAGGUCCUGCCGGCCAGCAGGCUGCCCAGUGCCAGCCCCGGCCGCAGGCCCGCGGGCCCCCUGGUCUCUGGCCGUCACCGUCCCUCGGUUCAGUGGGCCCGGCUGGGCCUCGGCCACCCCGGCACAGGCGGCAGGGCUGCCAGGAGCCAUGUGGUGCUGGGGGAAGGCCCUGCUGCCAGCCCCGGAGUACGAGGAAAAUGCUACUUUUGUCUCCUGCUCUCAUCUGGCACUGGCUGCCCGGGGAGGGGGGGCAGAGGCGGCCGCUGCAGCUCGGCCCCGCCCACCGGGAAUUUUUGAAAGAUGCUCGUGGGUGCGGGAGGAUGGCAGACGUGGCAGUGGCGGGUGGGCCGGGCCCCCAAACCCACCACCAAAAAGGAGGAGGCUGGCCGGGCGGGAGAGGGAGGAGGAAGUCGGCGUCUGGCCACUCAGUGGCCUGCCAGGGAGGACAUGGGGAGUGGCCGCCUGGGCCUGGCCAAGGCGCCUGCACCCCGUGGACGGGCAGCGUGGCCUGGACGCCAUGCUGUGGGCGCCUGCCUGACCGGGCUGCUCUGAGGGGCUGGGCGUCCGGGCGGCCUGGCUCACUCCAGGGACAGAGGCCACAUUGUUCCCACGCCAGGCUCAGCAGGCGGCAGCCAGCGCCCUGGCCGUUUCUCCAGGGUGAGGCCAGAGACCCCACCCUGAAAGCUGCCCUGGCCGGGGCCCUGGCAGUGAGCCCCCUUCUAAUGCCUGUGGAGGCUGGCGCUCUUAUAGCCGGGAACCCAGGCUGCAGGUGUGAAUCUGGCCCUGUGUCCGACUGGCCACUUCACCAUGAGCAAGUCUGCCUCAGUUUCCCCAUCUAUAGAAAGGGGAUAAUGGCUCCUCCCACUCAGGGCUGCUGGAGUGGCAGAAUUAACAUGCACAGAGCCCCAAGCCCCAUGCAGCCACCCAGUCAGCGCUCGACGCCAAGGAGUCCGAGAGUGGCCAGGCAGCCGCGGUGGACAGGGCGUCGGGGUGGAGUCCAGGCCCAUCACCCUCCCCUCUCAGACCCUCACAAAUCCUUGCCUUUCACCAAAACCAAACCUUGCCACUACCUCAGGGAAGCAUCCCCGUUCUCUGGCCCUACAACUGGGGCUGGCAGGCCUGGGGUUUCACUGUGGCUCUUUCAUUUGGAGACAAAAUAUCAGACCCCAUUGCUCUCUCCUGCGGGCAUCAGGCUGGGUCUGCUGGGUCACCUGUUGGUCCAGCUCUCCCUUCUCACCCUCUAUGUGACCGGGAGCUGCAGCAGUGACCACUGGGGUGUCCUUGUGUGA
RNAcentral lists this long non-coding RNA (1368 nucleotides) under Piliocolobus tephrosceles (Ugandan red Colobus). RNAcentral describes it as "lncRNA (ENSPTEG00000033836.1)". The record is from RNAcentral. Lineage: Eukaryota; Metazoa; Chordata; Mammalia; Primates; Cercopithecidae.